AUUGAACGCUGGCGGCAGGCUUAACACAUGCAAGUCGAGCGAGCGGCGGACGGGUGAGUAAUGUCUGGGAAACUGCCCGAUGGAGGGGGAUAACUACUGGAAACGGUAGCUAAUACCGCAUACCAUCAGAUGUGCCCAGAUGGGAUUAGCUAGUAGGUGGGGUAAAGGCUCACCUAGGCGACGAUCCCUAGCUGGUCUGAGAGGAUGACCAGCCACACUGGAACUGAGACACGGGCCAGACUCCUACGGGAGGCAGCAGUGGGGAAUAUUGCACAAUGGGCGCAAGCCUGAUGCAGCCAUGCCGCGUGUAUGAAGAAGGCCUUCGGGUUGUAAAGCACUUUCAGCGGGGAGGCGUUACUCGCAGAAGAAGCACCGGCUAACUCCGUGCCAGCAGCCGCGGUAAUAC
This 406-nucleotide ribosomal RNA is filed under the name uncultured bacterium. RNAcentral describes it as "partial 16S ribosomal RNA". It matches the Rfam family "Bacterial small subunit ribosomal RNA", at positions 30 to 526 of the family's 1533-position model. The record is from RNAcentral.